CAAGAGGGGCUGCUCCAAUCUAUGCAGCCCAGCUAGGGUCUUUUUUUUUUUUUUUUGCUGUUUUUUUGUUUUAAAAAUGUUUAUUGCACAGAAUUCAAGGAAUUCCCAAGUGCACUCACAUUUUUUUUUAAUCAACAUGCUUUUUAAAGUUAGUUUGAAAAAAAAAUGAUAAUAAAGUUAGUUUGUUGUGCAUGGUGACACCUUUCCCCAGAAUAGCCCCAACCUGAGGACUCCCUUUUAAUGAGGAAAUUUUUUUAACUUUUUAAAAUUUAUUUAUUCUUUAUUUUUGGCUCUGCUGGGUCUUCACUGCUGCAUGGGCUUUUCUCUUGUUGCAGAGCAUGGGCUCAGGGCACACACGCUUCAGUAGCUGUGGGAGGUGAGCUUCCGUAGUCGCAGUUCCUGGGUUCUGGAGCACAGACCCACUAGUUGUGGCACAUGGGCUCAGCUGCUCCACAGCAUGCAGGAUCUUCCCUCACCAGAUAGCGAACCCAUGUUUCCUGCACUGGCAGGCAGACUCCGAAUCCACUUGCCGCGUUUUGACUGCGGCUCCCGGGGGAAAGGACCCGAGGCCAAGAGCUGAAGUGGAGUUGCAGGUGCUGGGAGAGGCUAGGGGGAGAGGGGGAGAGGUGGAGGGGACCUGCGCAACUUUAUCCCUACUGCCCAAAGCGACCCAGGACACAUCCUCCGCCAAACCUAAAGAUGACCAUCUACACCACUUGAGUGAGCUUACAAGUGCUUCGCGAACUUGAUCGUGGAUAGGAAUCACCUGGAGGGGUUGUUGAACCACAGAUCCCACUCUCAAGAGUUCAGAUUCAAGUAGAUCUAGAUGAGGCCCCACCAUCUGCAUGUCUAACAUUUUCUCGGGGGAAACUGGCGCUGCUAAUUCGGAUACCACAUGCGAACUUC
This is a long non-coding RNA of Bos taurus (domestic cattle), 906 nucleotides long. NCBI's taxonomy places the organism in Eukaryota, Metazoa, Chordata, Mammalia, Artiodactyla, Bovidae. The record is from Ensembl.